GUCGGGGGGAACGGCAUAAGCGCUUGCGCCUAAUGGACGUCGACCGGCGCACGGGUGAGUAACGCGUAUCCAACCUGCCCCACACUAAGGGACAACCCGCAGAAAUGUGGGCUAAUACCUUAUAUUUUCCACCAAGGGCAUCGUCGAUGGAACAAAGAUUUAUCGGUAUGGGAUGGGGAUGCGUCCGAUUAGGUUGUUGGCGGGGUAACGGCCCACCAAGCCAUCGAUCGGUAGGGGUUCUGAGAGGAAGGUCCCCCACAUAGGAACUGAGACACGGUCCUAACUCCUACGGGAGGCAGCAGUGAGGAAUAUUGGUCAAUGGGCGGGAGCCUGAACCAGCCAAGUAGCGUGCAGGAAGACGGCCCUAUGGGUUGUAAACUGCUUUUAUGCGGGGAUAAAGGAGUCCACGUGUGGGCUUUUGCAGGUACCGCAUGAAUAAGGACCGGCUAAUUCCGUGCCAGCAGCCGCGGUAAUACGGAAGGUCCGGGCGUUAUCCGGAUUUAUUGGGUUUAAAGGGAGCGUAGGCCGCGUUUUAAGCGUGUUGUGAAAUGUAGGCGCCCAACGUCUGCAUCGCAGCGCGAACUGGAACGCUUGAGUACGCGCAACGUUGGCGGAAUUCGUCGUGUAGCGGUGAAAUGCUUAGAUAUGACGAAGAACUCCGAUUGCGAAGGCAGCUGACGGGAGCGGCACUGACGCUUAAGCUCGAAGGUGCGGGUAUCAAACAGGAUUAGAUACCCUGGUAGUCCGCACGGUAAACGAUGGAUGCUCGCUGUGUG
This 776-nucleotide ribosomal RNA is filed under the name uncultured bacterium. RNAcentral describes it as "bacterial SSU rRNA". It matches the Rfam family "Bacterial small subunit ribosomal RNA", at positions 61 to 826 of the family's 1533-position model. The record is from RNAcentral.